CUUCGCUGGGCAAAGCAGAGCUCUGGCAAAUUGAGCUUCACCCAAUCUUGUCCUGCAGAGAAGCCAAGUCUCCACUGAAUACAAAGAGACACACCCUUCUGCCUGGACGGUAUCAGUAGGUUGCUGGGAGGACCAGCUCACUGACAGAUUAAAGUUACCAAGUUGAAGUGAUGAGCUUGAAUCCUUCUGCAGUCACACGUUUGGCCUAGCAGAGGUUGAAAUUUUUAAAAAAUGAAAUAGAACCACAAAGAAAAUAUCAGAACACAUUGCACUUAGUAAAGAGAAGAAAAGCAACUCGGAGAUAAGAAACUCCACACCCUUUUGAGGAGAGAACUUGACAUCUGAAUUUUCAUGUUUGUGUUCUUUGAACAAACAUCAUUAAAGCAUACCAAAUCUACACCCAGUAAAAGUUUUGGAUGAAGACAGACAAAAAUGUGAAUGGACUACAAUGGAAGAUGCACAGACAUAUAUUAACCAGCACAUCAGGAAAUAGAGUUCAACCAAGUUGGAAGGUCGGCCUUGGAAGACACUGAGUUCCUGACCCUGGAGGACAGGCUGUGUUCAUUCAGGACCUGGAGGUUUUCAAACUCUCUCAAUGCCCUGCUGCUGCAUUUGAACUGUAUACAAGUCCACUUCCUGUGUCUUUGAAGAGGAAAUUUCUCAUCUGCUAUCAAGGGUGUUGCUAAUAAUUUAAAGAUCGGGUUUUUUUUCUGCAUUUUAGUCUGGCACAUCUGGGACUCAAGUUUCAAGUGCUGAGUCUUGUAAGGACUGUUCUGCAGCCAAAAACCAGGAAAGGGGAAACAGAAGCAAAAAACCAAUCACAAGUGAAAAAACUCAGCCAGCCUAAUUAAAUAUUUGGAAUCAAAAAUUGUUGGCCACCUGGAAGGGGAAACACCCUUUUCAUCCUGUCAUUCAUUUCUUAGCUAAAUAAUGGGUUCAAUAUACAUAAUUCCAAAACCAAAAUUAGAAUUUUUGGAAGACGCCCCCAAUAUUUAGGCAUUUUAUCUCCUGACCAGUUUGUCUUGGAAGGUAUUCCAGGCCAGGAAAUUCUAAUGUAUUUCUCUAUGUUAAAAGACAUAUAGGAGAUUUUUAUUUAUUGGUCAAGGUGGAUACGUGGGAACACCUGCUUUAAAAUGCUCAAGACUGGGAUUAUGACUCUGAUCAAGUAAAACUCUAGAGCCUCAAGAUCUGUUGAAAUGGAGAAGAUAAAAACUGCUGGGUCCCUGCUUGCCCUUCCCCACCCAAAAUUUCUUGGCCCUGACCCUGAUCCUCCUCCCUCAGACCACCUGUAGAUGAAGGUGGAGUAGCCUUCCACUGAGACAUCAUGAGGCUCUCUGGCUGUCAUAAGGAGGGCAUCAACCGACUGUGGAAAUAUAGUUUUGUAUUUCAUCAGCAUCAUAGAAUAUCAUCUCAAACUCACUGAGGGCCAACAGUGUUUAUAGACUCAGUUAUGAAGAAUUCUGUUUUAAGGAGAAUUACCUGAAAGAGAUGUAAUCCUGAUACUUUAAAAUUUAUCUUUGGGUUUGUAGACCCUCAGCGAGCAGCCUACAUGGGCCACUCAGUUCUGGCUCCCCACUGACUUACUGAGCCCAGCUUUGGCAUUCUGCUAUUUGCACACUUGGGUGGGGGGUGGGGGGAGUAGAAAGCUGUGCCAAGAAAUGUGAUGUUGUACUUACUCUAAUUGUUAUAAAGUUUUGGUGCCGCAAAAGAAAUAGCACGCGAAUAUAAAAUUUUAUUUUUAAUUCUCAGCAAGGCAAGUUACUUC
Molecule: long non-coding RNA, 1765 nt
Filed under: Homo sapiens (human)
Lineage: Eukaryota; Metazoa; Chordata; Mammalia; Primates; Hominidae
Description: HSALNT0342519
Source: RNAcentral